UUUCUGAAACUGAGUGCGUUAUGGUUUUGUACGAGUUCUUCAAUGCUUUAUUUGCAAUGGCGAGGAUCUGUGAUAUCAUGUAUAAAUAAGUCAGUAUUUCUCUUCUGAAAAUCACGAUCUCUUCAUCGGACCUGAAAUCAAUCCACCGUCUCUCACCUGCGAUCAUUGCGUGAAGACGGAGUCGUUGCCGUGACGUUCGAUAUUCACUUCACCACCUCUGGUCAAUCAAGGCGUGAUGGUUUAGGGGUGCAUUUCAAUCAACUUAAUUAUGCUUCUGCUCCUUACCUCCGUUGCCAAAACUGUAAAGGAAAUCUUCUGCGAGGGAUCGAGUCUUCUGCGUUUUUAGGGGCAAGCAGCAACGGAUUAGCGAUAGUCCUCCUGAUCCAAUCAAGCUUUUAUCCACUUCCCUCUACAAACGGUUUCUCAGUCCUCCUGAUCCAAUCAAGCUUACCUGCACUUCAUCCUACAAACGGUUUCUCAGCUAUCUUAAUUUAGAUGGAUAGGUGAAAACAUCAAAUCUCAUCAUUCAUUCAAUGUUUUUGCUGAUCACAAAAAAAAGCUCACAUUCUGUUUAUUGUGUUGUGCUAUUGUAAAGAAGGAGACUUUAUGAAACAAUUUUAUAUGCAGAAACCGUUUGGCGUGUAAGUAUAUUGAAGAAUGGGUAAACUAUUAAAGAGGUGACGGAGAAGUUCGUUGAGAGAUAAGUAACAUUAAAUUUCUGCAAGGCUAUGGCUUGACUGAAACGGCGGCUAUAGUUGCUUCUAUGUUUACUAAAGAGGAAACUGAGAGGUACGGAUCCUCUGGUUUGCUUGCUCCGAACAUGGAGGGUAAGAUUGUGGAUCCGGAUACGGGUCGGGUCUUGGGGGUGCAUCGAACCGGGGAGCUCUGGCUCUAGAGUCCUACCGUGAUGAAAUGUGAUUGAUUCUUUUCGAAAAGUUUUUUUGUUUUUGGUAUGAAACUUUUUUGAGUUGUUUUUAAAAGGUUAUUUUAAGAACGAGGAAGCUACUGCAUCUACUAUUGAUUCAGAAGGAUAGUUGAAGACUGGAGAUUUGUGUUACAUUGACGGUGAAGGUUUUGUCUUUGUUGUUGAUAGAUUAAAAGAGCUUAUCAAAUGCAAUGGUUAUCAGGUUUCUCCAGCUGAGCUUGAAGCAUUGUUGCUUGCUCAUCCAGAGAUUGCUGAUGCAGCAGUAAUACCGCAAGGACUUUUUCUUUUAGCAUGAUAGAGAUUGCUAAAUUCUUCUCUUUUUAAUGACCUUUUUAUGUAGCUCUUUACUUUUUCUUUCUUAUGUUUUUUUGAAGUAUCCCUGACUUGAAAGCUGGGCAAUAUCCAAUGGCAUAUAUCGUAAGAACAGCUGGAAGUAACUUAUCCGAAAAAUCCCUCUGGCAAAAUUUUAAGAAGAGAACUUAUAAAUCUCACAAACUCGAAGCUCUAGCAAACCACUCUAUCUUACACUUCACCGUUAGUUAACUCAUUUAUUUGGUUAACCGAUUAUUUAUUUCUCUUACAGAAAUCUCUGUCAAAAUUGAAUAUUGAUUUUGCUCAGCCUGUGAGUUCUCUCCUCUCCCUGUGUCGACGUGUUCCUCUUCUUGGUGUCUCUGUUUCUCAUUUCUGCUAUUGUUGAUUUUGUCUAGAAGCAGCAGGUCUAUUCUAAGUCGCUGCGUCCGAGUUUUGUUAUGGUCCGAGCCAUGUCAGAGUCUCAGACAGCUCUAAAGAAUCAGCCACGGUCCUCGGCCUCCUCUGGUUUGUUUUUGUGUUAACCUGCAAGUUCAUAUUCAGAGAUCGAUUUCAAUUAUAUUCUGUUUACAAUAAGGUUUUUAAUGUAACAUGGGCGUGUGUACAUCAGGAAAAAAGCAAGCUUUGAUAUCUUUAUCUGACAAGUAGGAUUUAGCUACUCUUGGCAAUGGUCUUCAAGAGCGGGUAUGUUUUAUUACAUAAUUUUUAGUUAUGUUUCUGUUCUAAUAAGUGUUUAUGGAUUGAAAAAUGAUUCCUUUUUUUCAUUGUUUCUACUGGAGGAACUGCCUCUACCUUGGAGAAUGCUGGAGUCUCUGUCACUUACAAAGUGGAGACGCUUACUUAUUUCCCUGAAAUGGCAAGUUUCAUUCUUUAGCUGGUGGUAAUGAUUACGCAGUUGAGUUUGGCAUAUUAAGCUUACCUCUCUUUUUUUUCCUUCUCAGAAAAGCAGCUUGAUGGUCGUGUGAAGAGUUUGCACCCAAACAUUCACGGUGGUAUCCUCGCUAGAAGAGAUGUGGAGCAUUUGAGCAUGGCAUUAGUGAAUUUGGACAUUUGAUUAGCCUUUUAAAUUCUAAGGUUGAGACAAGUUAAUCUGUAGUACUCUUUCGUGUUAAAUAGCAUCAUUUUGCUUUGUAUUGAAUGACAGGUACAUUUGAUGGAAAUUUAUUGUGGAACCGAACUUUUCCUCCGCCAUCUCCAAUAAGACCUGAAAGAUUGGAUGUUUCAGAUAAUCCAACGGCAAAACAAACCCCCUGCCUUCUCUGGUGUACACAGAGAAGUGUCCUUUCUUACACUGCCUCCACUUCUCCAUCAUAUUGGUGAGUUUAAGACUUGCAAGAUCCUUUCUUCAUAUGUUUCGACUCUGAUGUCUCUGCUCUUUGAUCUGUUACCAACAUAAUACCAUUGUGUAUACUAUUUGUUAGACUGUUACUGUCUGAAGCUAUACCUUCCUCUCUCUCUCCAUGUAUACUACAAAACGUGAUUAGUGUUUGUGAAAAUAUCUCGAACAAAAAAUGAUUCUUAAAUAACUAAUAAAAAGAAUAUGAAAUUUUUUAAAAAAAAUAAUUCAAUAACAUAAAAAUAAUUCUGAAAAUGAGAAUUUAUUUUACAAUAACAAAUAAUCCGCGUGAAACACAAGAAAUACGAGAAACUAAAACAAUAUUAUAAAAAUGGAAUAAGUCACAUAAUUUUAAAAGAUUUUUAACAAUUAAUUGAGAAAAAUAUAAUAAAAUAGAACUAAAAGAAUUAAUUACAAAAAUAAAUGAAAAUUUUAUUUAUAUAAUAACACAUUAAAGAAACCAUAUGCAAAUAAAUGUAGUAACUUCAUGAAUUUCAAAGAGAGUUUCAAUACAACUAAUUUAAUACUGAUAUGAAACUAAUUUUUUUGUAAUUAUAAAUUUUAAAUUGAAAUGUAAUAAAAACAACAAGAUAUAGGAGUAUAAAUGAAAUUAGAAAAUAUAAAAUAAACCAAUCAAAAUAUUUAUAUUACCAAAAUAAAGAAGAACACAUUUCUAUUGAAAUCAUCUCAACCAUCAACGUAUAAAGUUACUUAAUUUCAAAAAAAUAGUGAAAAUUCAUAAUAAAACCCUAUAAAAUAAAGUAACCACAAAAAUAAUUAUUCAACCCACAUAUAUCCAAACGUUCUCAAAUAAGAACAACUAUUAAACCAAUUAUACAUACUUAACCAACGUGUUUUUCUUUGCUUUUAAUUUUAAUUGUAAUGUAAAGAAUUUAAAAUAUCCCAAACCGUUCAGUUCAGAUGAAUGACUCUAAAAGUCAGUGUAUGAGAUUAAGUAAGAAAAUAUUUACUUAAUCUAUACAUGAAUUAUUAUUAUAAAAAAAAACAAAUAAUUUUGACUUUGAAACAAAACUACCACAAGACUAAAACAUCUUCACAUAUUAGCAAACAACAACUGUGGUGAGGUAACUAUCUUUAUGCUAUAAUUUUGUUAUGCACAUGAGAAUAUGAGGAAUGCAUGAAAUUUAUGGAUCGUCAUGAAAAAAAUACCCAACAUGUCUUGGGCGGACAAAUGUUGAGAUAGAUCAAACGUUCCUUAUGCGGUGUUGCUAUAUUGAAAAAGAAGUGUUAUGAGACUAAUAUGAUCUUUACAAUGCCACCACAUCUCAGUAAUUUCAAAAACGAUAUAUUGAUUGUUAUUACUAUAAACAAAUGGAGAAGUUCUUAGUGUUGGUUUUACGGUGAUUGACAAGUGCCUACACUCAUCGGCCACUACUCAGUUUUCACACUUUCCAGUUUCAAUGUGUUCUUAUUUUGAUUAGCUUUGCACUAAUACCUUCUUCUCAUUUAAUUUAACAUUUUACUUUUAAUAAGAAAUGCAACUUCAAAUAAUCACCACUUUCGUUCCAGUAGCAUGUCGAAAAUCUAUGAUUUCAACAUAAAGGAUAACUUUUAUAACAUACAUAAAAAAUUACCCACAACCAAAUUCUUCACAGCCUAAAUAUUACAAAUCACAAGUAACAUACCAAAUACGAAAUCAAUUUUUUUUGUAAAAUGAAACAACACGAAGACAUUUAAAGCCCUCACAACAGAACAAUGCCACAAGUCUUUAAUAAAGAAACAACUAUUGCAAACAAUCAAAAUAUAUUUUAUCAUAUAUAAUUCUUUUUCACCUAAAACUUUCUAAAAGACAAAAAUUAUAUCAUAUACAUCUAUUGCAAAUGUAAACCAAAAACACAACUCACAAAAUCAUACAAAAAAAUAAUAACCUAAAUCACAAGUAAAAUAUAUCCCGCCCGUAGGGCGGACUGACCCCUAGUAUAUAUAUAUACAACUUUAUUAUUUUUAGUUGUUUUUAAAAUUUUAGUAUAUAGUAAUGGCAAAAAUUAACUUCUAAAUUAAAAUAGUUAGAUUUGGUGAUGGAUGUAUCAUUUGUUCUCUACAAGCAUUAGCGAAGAAAACAGAGAGAUUUACAAAUCAAUCCAGUAAUAUAAUUAUCUGAGAGCGAACAUUAAAAUGCAGAAGGUGAGAAGGUAAUAAAAACCAAACAAAAGGAAACCGAAAACAUCAGACUUUAAGCCGGACUAAGCCAGAUUCACACCGAUCUGAGGCUAUACAAGAUCGGACCAAAAAACAAAA
Brassica rapa (field mustard) is the source of this 4829-nucleotide long non-coding RNA. RefSeq lists it as uncharacterized. The record is from RefSeq and is a predicted model, not a curated record. NCBI's taxonomy places the organism in Eukaryota, Viridiplantae, Streptophyta, Magnoliopsida, Brassicales, Brassicaceae.